UGGGGAAUAUUGGGCAAUGGGCGCAAGCCUGACCCAGCAACGCCGCGUGAAGGAAGAAGGCUUUCGGGUUGUAAACUUCUUUUAACAGGGACGAAGUAAGUGACGGUACCUGUUGAAUAAGCCACGGCUAACUACGUGCCAGCAGCCGCGGUAAUACGUAGGUGGCAAGCGUUAUCCGGAUUUACUGGGUGUAAAGGGCGUGUAGGCGGGACUGCAAGUCAGAUGUGAAAACUAUGGGCUCAACCCAUAGCCUGCAUUUGAAACUGUAGUUCUUGAGUGUCGGAGAGGCAAUCGGAAUUCCGUGUGUAGCGGUGAAAUGCGUAGAUAUACGGAGGAACACCAGUGGCGAAGGCGGAUUGCUGGACGAUAACUGACGCUGAGGCGCGAAAGCGUGGGGAGCAAACA
This 405-nucleotide ribosomal RNA is filed under the name uncultured bacterium. RNAcentral's name for it is "bacterial SSU rRNA". It matches the Rfam family "Bacterial small subunit ribosomal RNA", at positions 355 to 774 of the family's 1533-position model. The record is from RNAcentral.